RNAcentral lists this ribosomal RNA (254 nucleotides) under uncultured bacterium. Its description in RNAcentral is "partial 16S ribosomal RNA". It matches the Rfam family "Bacterial small subunit ribosomal RNA", at positions 524 to 776 of the family's 1533-position model. The record is from RNAcentral.
UACAGAGGUCUCAAGCGUUGUUCGGAUUCAUUGGGCGUAAAGGGUGCGUAGGCGGCUCAGUAAGUCGGAUGUGAAAACUCGGGGCUCAACCCCGAGACGCCAUCCGAUACUGCUGUGGCUUGAGUCUGGUAGGGGAACACGGAAUUCCUGGUGUAGCGGUGAAAUGCGCAGAUAUCAGGAGGAACACCAAUGGCGAAGGCAGCUCGCUGGGACGGUACUGACGCUGAGGCGCGAAAGCGUGGGGAGCAAACAGG